UGGCGCCGCCGCCCCUGCCUCCUCAACUCCCAUGGCCCGCCCUCCCCGUCGCGUCUCUUCUCUCCAUCGUCAGUCGCGGAAGCCGCUGCGCUCCUCUUCCUCCCUAGCUGCACCGCGCGGGAGGGCAAGAAGUUGACCCGAGGUCACCCGCCUCCAAUCCGACGUGCGAGGCACCCAGAGGCUGCCUCCGGUCAAAUCCGUCCGCCUCCCACGCCGUCAUCGUCCAGCACGAUUUUACCUCGUCGUCGUUCUCCUCCAAGCGUCCCGUGUGAGACGAGCCGGCCAGAUCCACCGUGUGGUGGCGUUGCAGGACCUGCUCCUGCGCCUUCGCCGAUGCCACCGACCCGCACUUCCCGGUCAGGUACUAGCUCCUCGACAAGGGCCUCAACGCGCUCAUCUCGGUCUCCUCACCCGAGCAUCUUGACUGCCCCAAGCUGUGGGUCUUCAUCUUCCCCAUCUCCGACGUGGCGGCGUGGGACGAGGGCGGCGAGGGCAGCGCCGGGUUUGACGCCGGACGCGGCGGCGCGGCCGCAUGUGGGCUGCCUCCCCGGCCUUCCGCAUGCAGCUCUUCCUGCUCCGCUCUCUCGCGCCCACCUGCGUAAACAACGGCCACGCCUCCUCAAGCCCUCUUCGUCCCCACGCAAUCUAUGCGGCGUCGAGGGGGGAGGCGGUGGUCCGGUGAAUCACGCCUCUGCUCGACUGUGCAAGGCACAAGGGCCAGACAGAUAAUGGAAGAAUAACUCUCCCUGCCUCUCCACCCAAGGGUGCACACAGACAAGUUCGUGUGUAUAUCCAUUUGCCUAUUACAAAGGCGGCAGGAAGCAUAGAAACCAUGAUUUUUAUGGAGAUUCAAAGUACAGAAAGAUGGAAGAGGCGGCAGGAAGCACAUAAAUCAUGAUGUUUAUGGAGAUUCAAAGUACAGAAAGAUGGAAGAGGUUCUGAUUCUUCUCAUUGCAUUUCUAAUUUUGUUGGCUACUAUCUAAUUUGAAAGUAUAGAUACUGCCCGGUGGGGAAUCAAUAUUACACAGAGUAACUGGAAUUUUAACCUGGUGCAAGGACUGAACAUGUAGAGAAUGAAUAGGUUGUAUCUUUCUUAGUAACCCAUUUCUGUUAUGAAUGAUAAUUUGUGUCUGUUUUGUAUCUCUGCUGAUAGAACAUAUGAUUUUCUAUUAUUGCCAGUGAUAUUAGUGUAUUUGAUUCUGUAGAUAUGUUUUGAGAUUUCCCUAGAGCCGACCAAUGAAACGGCGCUGGUUUAUAUAACGCGUCGUUUCUUCACAAUUUGACUACUACAGUCACCGAAUCAUUGGAAUAGGUAACCAGCGAAGGUUGCUUCAGCUAUGUAGAUUUUUUUUCUCUCAAAGCUAAAUUUGUUUUCUUAGAUGAUGAUAAGCAUCAUAUCCGGCAGCUACGUGGAGUAGGAGUAUUUCUGUAGCAGUCGGUGUUUAUUUGCACCUUUUGGUUGUUUACCCUGCAAAGUUUUGGAACAUUUAAUUUUAUAGCUUGCUUUCAAGUUGUUUUACUGCUUGAACAAGUAUCUUGGCAGUGGUCGAUUGACUUGAGUAGCCCUUAGAAGAGUAUAUUUUCUUUCCUUAAGUAUCUUGCUUGCAUCAAGUGGUUAGAUGUUUUUAAAUUUUAUAUACCUGUGUGUUGCUUGGUUGUGUCCUUAGACUGGCACCUGGGCAAUUACUUGAGCAGCAGUGUAGCACCAUGCCUCAUUGAGCUCCCUAAUUUGGCUAGAACAGAGGUCUACAACUGAGGGCUACUGUAUUUACAUUUUAUAUACAUGUGAAAGUUAUUUUUGUGAUUCACUUCAGUUAGCAUUGAUUUCAAUGCAUAUGUCUUCCUUUUUGUUGUCAGUAGUGCAAUAUACUUCUAUUAAAUGAGAAAGAAUCAAUAGCAAUUCCUUCCAUUGUAUAUGAAGCUCCGCUAGGUUCCAAAUAGAAAGAUCUUUUAUUGAAGUGUAAACUGCUAGCAGAGCUACAUUGCGGAGUACGGAGUUGAUAUGAAGCUCUGCUAAGUUACGAUGCUAUUUUCUGGCCUAUGGGUUUUGGCUACUGAUUUUUAUUGCCAUAGUUUAUUGUUUGUCAUCUAAAACGGAUUCAGAGGGAUACGAAGGGUACUUUAAUUUGCAACCGAUUAAAUUGUUUGGUUCCUGAUUCAUAUUUGUUUGUCUAUAUUAUGGACAACCGAUUAAGGAUCUUUAUAGAGUAGGAGUCUUCGUUUGAUGGCCACAGUUGACAUCACCCAAUUUGUGUGUAGGGUGCUUAAUAAGUUUUUUUAGAUGUAUGCACUGCAUGAAGGAGCACAUUUCUGUCAAUUUUACUGGAGGUCAAGGUUACCUUCAAAUGCUUGUAGUUAUUUGUAAGCUGAUCAGCAGCUUGAAUGCAAUGGAAGUUUGGAUUGGAAGUAUUUUUGGUUGGCUAUAAGGAAGAGAGCACUUGACAGCCAUUUGUACUGUUGUUGUGGUCGUCCUUGGCGCAGAAGGGGUGGCGGGGGAGGCGCGGAGAUGGAGCAAACCUUGCACAGUGUCUAAUCCACUUGAUGCCAUCAUUAUCUAUGAGAUGCACCAAGCAUCGUAACGAAUCUCGGCGCUUUGUACUACUAUGUAUUUUGUUUGCUCCUAUGUCAUGAGAAAUUCCAAAUGUUGGAUCUGUGCCUGGCACGUGCUGUGAGCCGGCUCAGUUGUCCCGGGCUUUGCUUUUGGAACAAAUUAAGUAUUUGUCAUGAGCUGGUAGAUUAAAUAAUAUCAUGUUGGCAGAUUAUAUAUUCA
Long non-coding RNA from Triticum dicoccoides, 2770 nucleotides. RefSeq lists it as uncharacterized. The record is from RefSeq and is a predicted model, not a curated record. NCBI's taxonomy places the organism in Eukaryota, Viridiplantae, Streptophyta, Magnoliopsida, Poales, Poaceae. The transcript is spliced from 3 exons.